AGGUAGGUAAGAAAGAAAUCACAAGGAAGCACAAGCUGUUCUGGCUACUGCAAUUGCUGCUGUGGCAUCUUCUAGGGUUUCUUCCUUCCGAAAAGACUCUCUAGAUGAAUCUAUGCAACAAGAGAAUUUGUUGAAGUUGGAUGCUUUAAGUGGGAGGAAUGGUGCUGAUUCUCAGCCAAUGCCAAGAGCCAAAGAGACACUUUCAAGAGUAGCUAUGACAAGAACGUCAUCAGAGAAAUAUUCUAAUUUCAGUUUGCCAACCUCAGAAUAUUCUAAGGAGCAAUCUAAAUCAUGUGAUAUCUGCAGACGAUCCGAGACUUUGUUUAAAUCUGAUUAUGUGAGAAGCUUGAGGCAGAAAGAAAUGGACUUUGUAUGCCUCAUUGUUUUAUUUAAUUUAAAGUAGAAACAACAACAUUUUGUAGGCCUCAUAUGUGUUAGGAAAUGAGGAAAAGCAUAAUAAAAAAUAUAUUUUUAAGAUUUUUUUAUGAGUUA
Molecule: non-coding RNA, 492 nt
Organism: Arachis ipaensis
Lineage: Eukaryota; Viridiplantae; Streptophyta; Magnoliopsida; Fabales; Fabaceae
Source: RefSeq, a predicted model, not a curated record